RNAcentral lists this ribosomal RNA (256 nucleotides) under uncultured bacterium. RNAcentral's name for it is "partial 16S ribosomal RNA". It matches the Rfam family "Bacterial small subunit ribosomal RNA", at positions 521 to 776 of the family's 1533-position model. The record is from RNAcentral.
UAAUACGGAGGGUGCAAGCGUUAUCCGGAUUUACUGGGUUUAAAGGGUGCGUAGGCGUUCUGAAAAGUUUCUAGCGAAAUCUGUCAGCUUAACUGGCAAACUGUUGGAAAAACUUUCAGAAUUGAAUAUGGUAGAAGUGGGCGGAAUAAAUCAUGUAGCGGUGAAAUGCUUAGAUAUGAUUUAGAACACCGAUUGCGAAGGCAGCUCGCUAUGUCAUAAUUGACGCUGAGGCACGAAAGCGUGGGGAUCAAACAGG